GGACUACUGGGGUAUCUAAUCCUGUUUGCUCCCCACGCUUUCGCGCCUCAGCGUCAGUAUCGGUCCAGAGAGCCGCCUUCGCCACCGGUGUUCUUCCCAAUAUCUACGAAUUUCACCUCUACACUGGGAAUUCCACUCUCCUCUCCCGAUCUCUAGCCAAACAGUCCCAAAUGCAAUUCCCAGGUUGAGCCCGGGGCUUUCACAUCUGACUUGAUUGGCCGCCUGCGCGCCCUUUACGCCCAGUAAUUCCGAACAACGCUUGCCCCCUUCGUAUUACCGCGGCUGCUGGCAC
RNAcentral lists this ribosomal RNA (292 nucleotides) under uncultured Alphaproteobacteria bacterium. RNAcentral describes it as "partial 16S ribosomal RNA". The record is from RNAcentral. Lineage: Bacteria; Pseudomonadati; Pseudomonadota; Alphaproteobacteria.